This 1021-nucleotide long non-coding RNA is filed under the name Oryctolagus cuniculus (rabbit). RNAcentral describes it as "lncRNA (ENSOCUG00000030428.1)". The record is from RNAcentral. Lineage: Eukaryota; Metazoa; Chordata; Mammalia; Lagomorpha; Leporidae.
AAACUUUAGGACUUUUAACCUUCAUAUUUAUUUAAGAAGAUCAUAGUAACUAUGACUUAUGUAAACAUAUAUACCAAAUGAAAACAUAUAAUAUAAAAUACAUUUUAUACAAAAAUACCUCAGAGAAGUCAAAAUCUUACAGUGACAGAAAAAGAGUCUUCAGAAAGGAAAUCAAGAAAAUUCAAAUGGACCAGAAGAAAGGAGCAGUACUGGCAGGGAGGAUCUACUGAUGAGGAUAAAAGGAGAAAAGAGCAAGCAAAGAUGGGAUAGAAUUUGGAGAAGCUAGUAAUGUGCUAAGGAGUGGCCCAGCUAAGGACAGGAUGGUGAAUGAAUUGUGGGCUGACUGUGAAAGUCCAGGCACAUCUGGCUGCAAGUCUGGACUUCAUGUUUCUGGAAAAGAGGCAGAAGGCUGUGAACUGGAGAGUGGAUUAGAGGCAUGUGUGAGAUAAUUGACACUAAAAAAACUUUGGGUUUAAUUAAGACAGAAACUAGAGUCUUGAGGGUAGUUACAAGUAAAAAAUAUUAAAGCAAAAAAAUUAUAGUAACUCAUGUAACAGAACUUGAUUUUUGUGUGGUAGAGAAAAUUUUUUUGUGGGCCAGAAAAUGAUUUGUGGGCCAGAGAAAAAAGAAUAGAAAAAGAUCCCAGGCUAGAAAGAUCUGACUUUCUCAAUCUCAUAAUCCUCAAAGGCAGCAUGUGCAUUCCCCUAAAACCUUAAGAAUCUGAUUGAGUUAUUCUUUUGAACUUACACCAUUCCUGCACUGAUAAGAUACAGCGAGAGGCAUCAACAAAACAGAUACAUUUUAUCCUAACUGUUUAGUGACCGUCAGAUAAGGACAAUAACAUUCACUUAAGAAAAUUUUUCAAUGCCAAAACAUCCUCCCUACCAGGGAAACCUCCCUAGUCCCACACCCACCCCAAUCGGCAGGAGAAAUGGAGCAGGCCAUUAAUCAGCUAACAUUUCAUAAACUUUUUGCCACAAAAUAAGAAUAAAAUGCCUAUUUAUCUAAAAUUAGGUAGCCA